RNAcentral lists this long non-coding RNA (240 nucleotides) under Capsicum annuum. RNAcentral's name for it is "long non-coding RNA (CANN_LNC016218)". The record is from RNAcentral. Lineage: Eukaryota; Viridiplantae; Streptophyta; Magnoliopsida; Solanales; Solanaceae.
UCUGUCAGUUAUGUGGCUGUCUAGGUCACAAUUUGUAUCAUUGUUCAAAAACGAAUAAAUUGAACAAAAAUGGAGAGGACCCGGAAUCUCCCUGUAGAAACAAUGAAGAAAAAAAGUUAACAUCAACGAUGAAGAAAAAAAGUUAAAUCUAGAAAAAAAUGAAAAAACAAUAAAAGAAGGGAAAAAUGAAAAAGAAAAAAAGGAAGAAAAAGAAAAGAUGAAUAUUUGUGGACUACUGUU